UGUAGUGACGAUGCUUUUUGCUAUCUUCUAACGUUUGUAGCAACAUCGGAAGCUAAGCAAAGCAUCUGCCUUUUUCACAACCAUGGAAGCGAAGCUUGAGCGUUUGAGUGUUGGUUGUGAAGGCUUAAUUGAGUUCGAAUCCCGAUGCGCCUCUAGUUCUCCUGCAUGAGGAAUUCUGUGAAUUCAUGGUGACACUACCUGGCUCUCGCCACGAAAAGAACCCGAUCCAUCUCCUACUCUGUCGCCUCUGCUUGCACCCCAACUCGAUCGAUACCUCCAGAGCUGAGGAGCUGCAAGGCAAGCAAUGCCCGACUCAAAAGGCCAUGGCAGGCUAGUGGACCAAAUCUUCUCAUGGUCCAUGAAGGAUGUGCUCAACCCUGAUUUCUUCCAGCACAAGGUGGAGAGGAUUCCCAUGACCUUCGAUACUGUCGAGAACUACUUGAGCUCUUUUACCUAUCCACUCUUGGAAGAACUACGCGAAGAAAUGUGCUCUAAUCUCCAAACCCUGUCUCGUGUUCCUUUUGUCAAAAUAAAGCGUCUCGAGUGCAGAAAUCGCGCAGAACAUAUAUACUUCAUGGUUGUUGAACCGUCGGCUGAUGAAACCAGAAGUGCAAGUGACUAUAAGCCGUGCAAAGGUGACAUUCUUAUCUUAUCGAACAGUAGGCCAAAAGAUGGGUGUAUUCCGAUGAUGGACCACGAAUCAUAUUGCCUUCUCGAGGUAGUUAAGGAUGAAUUUCAAUUGAUGGAACCUCAAUGUUCUAUAGUUAGAGCAUCAGGGUACAUCGAGGCUUCAAUAGAUAGCACUAAUUGCAAAGGAAAAAAAAGCCUUUUUGUGGUUUGUCUGUUGACCACCAUAACAUACUCUCGAAUCUGGGAUGCGUUGAAUUUUAAGCUUGCACAGAGUAGGAAUAUUGGUCUUAUUCACAAGGUGUUAGAUUUUGAUCCAGAGGAUGAAAUGGGUAGUGUUGCAUUUGCCUCCAAGCCUGAUGUUGGUGGUGUCCAAGACAUUGACAUUGGAUUGAGUUUAAGCAAAUUAUCACUGAAUGAGUCUCAGACCAAUGCCAUACUGAGUUGCUUACCGUCUGACAAAUGUCGCAAUGAUCAUCAAUCCAUAAGCCUUAUUUGGGGGCCUCCUGGUACUGGAAAGACCAAAACAAUCAGUGGUUUAGUGUGGUUAUUAGAUCAACUGAGAUGUAGGACACUUAUUUGCGCGACUACAAAUAAUGCUGUAACACAAGUUGCAUCGCGCUUCUUGAAGCUACUGAAGGAAUCCUCUGGGACCAGAUCAUACCGCUUGGGUGAUGUGGUUUUGUUUGGCAAUGAAGAAAGGUUGAGAUUUGGUGAUGAUCUGCAAGAUGUGUUUCUCAAAUACCGAGCAGAUAGGCUAAAAGGGUGCUUUGGAUUACAAACUGGCUGGAAAGAUUGCCUUAGAUCAUUACUAAAUUUCUUUGAACAUGCAACAUUGUUGUACACAAAUUAUUUGGAUGAAAAGAAAAUUGAGGAUGAGAAGGUCAAGAAUUUAAAUGAUAUAAAGGAUAGCAAAGGGGUUCAAAGAAUUACAAAUGCUGAGAAUCCAUCGAGUAAGAGUGAGGUGACUUUUCUAUCAUUCGUUAGGCAAAAAUUUGCAUCUCUUUUACAGAAAUCCAGAGAGUGUUUCAAUAGCUUGUGUGUUCAUAUGCCAGCAGCUGCUUUGUCGAAUUCUUGCUGUGAGCACAUAAAGGAUCUUCUUCGUUCGCUUGAAUGCUUUAACACUUUUCUCUCAAAGAAAGAUGGAGGCAAUAAUCUUGAGAAAGUAUUUGGAUCCAGUCUGUCUUUAUCUCAAAAUAACAAUUUAUUUGGUAGCAACACCAAUACCUUUAUCAUGCUACUUAAGAUGAAAAGACAAUGUUGUGACGAAAUAAAAUUACUCGAGCGGUCGUUACAUCUACCUUCACUCUUUGGCAAGCCCAUCAUGAAUUUCUGCUUGGAAACAGCCAACCUCGUUUUCUGUACAGCAUCAACGUCUGCCAAGAUACACAAAUUGGAUUUAAAGAAACCAUUUAAGAUUGUUAUUAUUGAUGAAGCAGCACAGAUAAAAGAAUGUGAAUCAUUAGUACCCUUGCAGAUCUCUUCUAUAAGCCAUGCUGUUCUUGUUGGUGAUGAAUGUCAAUUGCCUGCUCUUGUCAAAAGCAAGGUCUCAGAAAAUGCAAUGUUUGGUAGGAGUCUAUUUGAAAGGUUGAGUAAAUUAGGAUUCAAGAAACACCUUCUGAAUGUGCAGUAUCGCAUGCAUCCAUCUAUCAGCUUGUUUCCUCUUGAAAGAUUCUAUAACUCCAAAGUAAUCAAUGGACCAAAUGUCAUUAAGAAGGGCUACACAAGAAGAUUUCUUUCUGGAAAGAUGUUUGGAUCCUACUCUUUCAUAAAUAUUGUAGAUGGAACCGAGAGUUCUGACAGCCUUAGUCACAGUAAGAAAAACAACAUAGAAGUUGUUGUUAUCUUGCAAAUUCUUAGAAACCUUCGUACAGCAAUCAUGAAAAGUGAGAAAAUAAUUAGUGUUGGCAUUAUCUGUCCUUACUCUGCACAAGUUGUUGCUGUUGAGGAGCAGGUAAGGAAAAAGCUUUCAUCGAGCUCAAACCUGCUUGUUAAAGUUAGCACGGUCGAUGGGUUUCAAGGUAGUGAGGAAGAUGUUAUCAUACUUAGCACAGUGAGAUCGAAUGCUAAUGGUUCAAUUGGGUUCGUUUCUAAUCUUAAUCGCACAAAUGUUGCACUGACUAGAGCAAGAUAUUGCCUUUGGAUAUUGGGUAAUGAACCUACAUUAAGAAGUAGUCGAUCAAUAUUGGCAAAUAUAGUACAAGAUGCAAAGGCUCGUGGCUGCUUUUUUAAUGCUAUUGAGGAUAAGAGCAUUGCUAAAGCAAUCAAUAGAGCACAUUGUUCCCCAAGCGAUACAGAGUCCCUUAACUUCCACCGCCUAAACAUUAGUGAAAGUCCAAAGAAGGGUAAACAUAUGAUUCCAAACUCUAGUCAUUAUGGUAAUGCAUCGAAAUAUUCUGAAGCUUCUAAAGGAAAAAUGCCUCUCUCAAGGAACCUGAAUUCAAAUAGUUCAUGCAUCAAAGAGGAAUACAAGGAGUCAAUUCAUAAUAAAUCUACUAAAGCUAUCUAUCAGCCCAAAAUCCAUCUUGUGACUGAAGAAUGCAAAGACGAUAUUCUAAGAAUUCAUAAUUCUGGAGUAAAAUUGAUUGAAUACAAAGAGCCAAUCCAGAGAUAUGAAGAAGUUGUGCAGAUCUAUCAGCCUACAAAUCAUGAAUUCAGAGAUGACAUUGUUAAAAUUGAUACUGAAGAACCGAAAAUGAUGCCAGAUGAAUCUAAUGAUGUUGAUAGUUUUUGCUGCAUUCCCCUUAUUAGGAACCCUGCUGAUUUGAAUACUUUCCAACCACUCACCUUCUUGCGGGAACAAGUUUCGCAACUACUCACCUUCUUGUGGGAACAAAUAAGUCGGUCAUAAGGGAUGAUCAAAGGUUGAAAUAGUAUUCUACUGCUCGGUCUUGAUGCUCAGGAGGAUAUGCAGUUAAUUCACCCUCUCUUGCCGACCGCACUGGGACCAAUAAUUGGUAUCAGAGCCUAGACGCCUUAGAAGAAUUAACCGCCUAAAGCAACAAGAAGAUGGCUAGAGCAAGUAUUCAUCUACUGAAGUUCGAGGGAGACUUUGCUAUAUGGAAGAAAAAGAUAGAGGUAUUUUUUAAAAUGAAUUUUGAGAUUUUACUAACUAUAAAAUAUGGCUUUGUAGCACCUACAGAUCAGCAUGGAGCUGAAUAGGAAAAACACUACUGGACUAAUAAGGAGCAAGCAGACUUUGUGGCUAUUGGUAAAACAGAGUUUCAUCUACUCAAUGUUUUGCUAUCUUAAGAAGUCAAUUGGAUCAAAGCCUACGAGUCAAUCAAAGAACUCUAGGAGAAGUUCCUGGAGUUACACGAAGGAACCUCAGAGGUGAAGCUAGCAAGAAGAGAUCUACUCCGGAAUCAACUUAGCAACAUCCGACUUAAAGAAGGGGAAACAAUUGCUCAACUACACGUGAGACUCAAAGAAUUGAUCACUGGAAUCAUCAACCUCGGAGAGACGGUAACAAAUCGGGACUCUCUUUGAUAUGCCCUCAAUGUCUUCCUAAGAAUCCCAAACUGGACAUCCAUAGUAAAUUCAUUCUACAUUUCUAAGGAUCUUGAGGUAAGUACCUUAGAAAGUCUAUUUUCAACUUUAGAAUUACAUGAAACUCGAUGUGCAGGUUUAAGAAAUAAAAAACGAACUUAGAACCUAGCUUUCAAAGCUAAGAAGAUCGAGCAAGAAUCAUACUGCUCACUCGACCCGGAUUAAGAAGCAUAUAUGGUAAGAAAGUUCAAAAUAUUUUUUAGAUCUAAUAAGUUUAAUGAGUUGCAUGCCAAGAAAAAUCCAAGAGACAAAAGAAAGAUUAAAUUCUACAACUAUAAUGAAGAAAGACACAUCAAGGAGAACUUCCUAAAACUGAAGGAGAAGGACCAAAACAAAAGAUAAACGCAAACAAAACACAAGAAACCCUUAAGGAGACAUGAGGCGAAUCGUCGUCACUCGAAUUAGUGAUAGAAGUCUAUAUCGGACUUGCACUUAUGCCAAGUCAUCAAGAAGACAAAGAUGAAUCAAGCUCAUCUAAAAUGAGCAAUGAAAGCAUCGAUGAAGGAGGAGCUACUUCAAAAGAGUGCAACAAUGAAGGGGGAGACACAAGCUUAAGCACAUACAUGAUAAGUAA
Molecule: RNA transcript, 4750 nt
Organism: Zingiber officinale
Lineage: Eukaryota; Viridiplantae; Streptophyta; Magnoliopsida; Zingiberales; Zingiberaceae
Gene name: helicase sen1-like
Exons: 13
Source: RefSeq, a predicted model, not a curated record